Long non-coding RNA from Gadus macrocephalus (Pacific cod), 1211 nucleotides. RefSeq lists it as uncharacterized. The transcript is spliced from 4 exons. Lineage: Eukaryota; Metazoa; Chordata; Actinopteri; Gadiformes; Gadidae. The record is from RefSeq and is a predicted model, not a curated record.
GUUGGGUGCGGCUUCAGGUUCCUAUAAAGACAGUGACUCAGCGCUUUGAGUCCGGAAAUCAGUGAGGAAAAAAUUAGCAGAAGAGACGCUUUGCAGAGUCGACCCUCUGCAACAACCCAACCACCAGAGCACUAUGGCGAUGAAGGUUCACGUUGAAUACUGCGGAGGAUGAGGCUUCAGAAGCCGCUUCACGCGGCUAGAAGCGGCCAUCAAGAAGGCCAUCCCCGACGCGGAGGUGACGGGGUCCGUGGGUCGUGCCCAGAGUUUUGAGGUGACAGUUAACGGACAACUGGUGCACUCCAAACUGCAGACCGGGAGUUUCCCUGACGAUACCAAGGUGGUGAGGCAGCUGAUGGCGAUGAUGGCGAUGAAGACCCCCCAGGCCUACCAGCGGCCCCCCCAGACCGCCCAUAGGGGGGGGUGACGUUAAAGAACAUUUCCUUACUGGAAAUGUUAAGGCUGUUUCCUAUCAGAAGAGAACAUCUGUUUUUAUUGUCCAUUGAUCCGUUUGUUUUCUCGUUCGACCAUAAACCAGGAAGAGAGAGUGGUGAGUUCAAAGUCAAUCAGGUUUUAAUCUCGUUCGGAGGCCUGUGGUCCUGAAGGAUGAGCAGGCCUCCUGAACAACGAUAUGAAAACAGAACUUCCUCCUCUCUAGCCACAGUCAUGUUAUCCAUCGUUUAAACUGACUGAGUAGUAUUCCCUUUAAGUUGGCCCCUCAUGUUAUCCAAGGGCUCCAACGCUGAGAUUCAAAUGUUCCUUCAAUAUCAAAGGAACAGAUUUUGUGUUCUGUGAUGAGUUCAGCCGCCCCCCCGACCCAGCAGCUCCUUAGUGGGCCACUGAGCCGCCUGUUAAUGACUGAUCACACUUAAAAACUACGUUUGGUGUGACCAUGAUGCUUCAGGUAGUCUUUGUGAACACCCCCUAAGGGAGCCCGCUGUGUCUCCUGUCUCUCUAACUCUCUCUCACUUCUAACUCGCUCCAACUCUUUAUGACGUACACAUCGCUACUUUCCUUUCUGCUUCUGAUUAGACACCAAACAUGGAACAUGGGAUGACCAUGCAUUCAUUAAACAAGCACUGUUUGUAUGUAUAAUUAUAUGAUGUCUACAUACAGUUUUAAUUUCCUUAAAAGCAUAAGUAAGACUAUACUUUCUGUAUUAGCCUAUUGUGAAAGCACUAAGCUUUUGACAGCAUCAAUAAAGCAAUUCAAAU